This 392-nucleotide ribosomal RNA is filed under the name uncultured bacterium. Its description in RNAcentral is "bacterial SSU rRNA". It matches the Rfam family "Bacterial small subunit ribosomal RNA", at positions 28 to 424 of the family's 1533-position model. The record is from RNAcentral.
GACGAACGCUGGCGGCGUGCUUAACACAUGCAAGUCGAGCGGUAAGGCCCUUUCGGGGGUACACGAGCGGCGAACGGGUGAGUAACGCUUAGGAAUCUACCUAGUAGUGGGGGAUAACCCGGGGAAACUCGGGCUAAUACCGCGUACGCCCUACGGGGGAAAGCGGGGGACUUUCGGGCCUCGCGCUAUUAGAUGAGCCUAAGUCCGAUUAGCUAGUUGGUAGGGUAAUGGCCUACCAAGGCGACGAUCGGUAGCUGGUCUGAGAGGACGACCAGCCACACUGGGACUGAGACACGGCCCAGACUCCUACGGGAGGCAGCAGUGGGGAAUAUUGGACAAUGGGCGCAAGCCUGAUCCAGCGAUGCCGCGUGUGUGAAGAAGGCCUGCGGGUU